This 513-nucleotide ribosomal RNA is filed under the name uncultured bacterium. RNAcentral describes it as "partial 16S ribosomal RNA". It matches the Rfam family "Bacterial small subunit ribosomal RNA", at positions 28 to 523 of the family's 1533-position model. The record is from RNAcentral.
GAUGAACGCUGGCGGCGUGCCUAAUACAUGCAAGUCGAGCGAACAGAUGAAGUGCUUGCACUUCUGACGUUAGCGGCGAACGGGUGAGUAACACGUAAGGAAUCUACCUAUAAGCGGGGGAUAACAUUCGGAAACGGGUGCUAAUACCGCAUAAUAUCUUCUUCCGCAUGGAAGAAGAUUGAAAGACGGCUCUGCUGUCACUUAUAGAUGACCUCGCGGUGCAUUAGUUAGUUGGUGGGGUAACGGCCUACCAAGACGAUGAUGCAUAGCCGACCUGAGAGGGUGAUCGGCCACAUUGGGACUGAGACACGGCCCAAACUCCUACGGGAGGCAGCAGUAGGGAAUCUUCCGCAAUGGGCGAAAGCCUGACGGAGCAAUGCCGCGUGAGUGAAGAAGGCCUUCGGGUCGUAAAACUCUGUUAUAAGAGAAGAACAAAUUGUAGAGUAACUGCUACAGUCUUGACGGUAUCUUAUCAGAAAGCCACGGCUAACUACGUGCCAGCCGCCGCCGUAA